This 346-nucleotide ribosomal RNA is filed under the name Perga schiodtei. Its description in RNAcentral is "partial 16S ribosomal RNA". Lineage: Eukaryota; Metazoa; Arthropoda; Insecta; Hymenoptera; Pergidae. The record is from RNAcentral.
AUAAUAAUUAGUCUUUUAAUUGGAGGCUGGAAUGAAAGAUUGAACGAGAUAGAUGCUGUCUCAAUUAAAUUAAAUUUUAAUUUAAUUUUUAAGUAAAAAAGCUUAAAUAUUAUUAUAGGACGAGAAGACCCCAUAGAGUUUUAUUUUAAUUUAUUAUUUUUUAUAAAAUUAAAUUAAAUUUUAAAUUAAAAUUUUAUUGGGGCGAUAGAAAAAUUUAAUAAACUUUUUUAAAAUAUUAACAGAGAUUAUUGAAAUUUUGAUCCUAAAUUUUAGAUUAUUAGAUUAAGUUACCUUGGGGAUAACAGCGUUAUUUUUUUUAUAAGUUCAUAUUAAUAAGAAAGAUUGC